GGGGAAUAUUGGGCAAUGGGGGAAACCCUGACCCAGAGACGCCGUGUGAGUGAUUAAGGUCUUCGGAUUGUAAAGCUCUGUCGUGGGGGACGAUGAUGACGUUACCCCAAAAGGAAGCACCGGCUAACUCUGUGCCAGCAGCCGCGGUAAUACAGAGGGUGCUAGCGUUGUUCGGAAUUAUUGGGCGUAAAGGGUGCGUAGGCUGUCCCUUAAGUCAAUUGCGAAAUUCUGGAGCUCAACUCCAGCGCUGUAAUUGAUACUAUUGGACUAGAAUGUGGAAGAGGUGAGUGGAAUUUUCAGUGUAAGAGUGAAAUCUUUAGAUAUUGAAAGGAACACCAGAGGCGAAGGCGACUCACUGGGACAUUAUUGACGCUGAGGCACGAAAGCGUGGGGAUCAAAC
This 400-nucleotide ribosomal RNA is filed under the name uncultured bacterium. RNAcentral's name for it is "bacterial SSU rRNA". It matches the Rfam family "Bacterial small subunit ribosomal RNA", at positions 356 to 773 of the family's 1533-position model. The record is from RNAcentral.